GUCUUUUUGAUUAUAAUUUAAAGUCUGACCUGCCCAAUGAGGAGUUAAAUGGCUGCGGUAAUUUGACCGUACAAAGGUAGCAUAAUCAUUAGUUUUUUAAUUGAAAGCUGGAAUGAAAGGUUGGACGAGAGAAUGACUGUCUCAAUUUAAUUUAAAUUAGAAUUUUAUUUUUAAGUAAAAAAGCUUAGAUAACUUUAAAAGACGAGAAGACCCUAUAGAAUUUUAUAUAUUUUGGAAUAAGGAUUUUUAAGUUAAUUUUUAUUUUUAUUUAAAAAUGUAUUUUGUUGGGGUGAUAGAAAAAUUUAAUUAACUUUUUUUUUUUUAUAUCAUUAAUUUAUGAUUAAGUGAUCCAUAUUUUAUGAUUAUAAGAUUAAAUUACCUUAGGGAUAACAGCGUAAUUUUUCUUAAGAGUUCAUAUCUAAAGAAGAGAUUGCGACCUCGAUGUUGGAUUAAAAUAAAUUUUUGGUGUAGAAGCUAAAGUAAUUAGGUCUGUUCGACCUUUAAAAUUUUACA
RNAcentral lists this ribosomal RNA (513 nucleotides) under Pachypus sp. ZFMK COL DA4253. RNAcentral's name for it is "partial 16S ribosomal RNA". It matches the Rfam family "Bacterial large subunit ribosomal RNA", at positions 1819 to 2600 of the family's 2925-position model. The record is from RNAcentral. Lineage: Eukaryota; Metazoa; Arthropoda; Insecta; Coleoptera; Scarabaeidae.